RNAcentral lists this ribosomal RNA (253 nucleotides) under uncultured bacterium. Its description in RNAcentral is "partial 16S ribosomal RNA". It matches the Rfam family "Bacterial small subunit ribosomal RNA", at positions 524 to 776 of the family's 1533-position model. The record is from RNAcentral.
UACGGAGGGAGCUAGCGUUGUUCGGAAUUACUGGGCGUAAAGCGCACGUAGGCGGCUUUGUAAGUUAGAGGUGAAAGCCCGGGGCUCAACCCCGGAACUGCCUUUAAGACUGCAUCGCUUGAAUCCAGGAGAGGUGAGUGGAAUUCCGAGUGUAGAGGUGAAAUUCGUAGAUAUUCGGAAGAACACCAGUGGCGAAGGCGGCUCACUGGCCUGGUAUUGACGCUGAGGCACGAAAGCGUGGGGAGCAAACAGG